Molecule: ribosomal RNA, 253 nt
Filed under: uncultured bacterium
Lineage: Bacteria
Description: partial 16S ribosomal RNA
Rfam family: Bacterial small subunit ribosomal RNA
Source: RNAcentral
GACGGAGGAUGCAAGUGUUAUCCGGAAUCACUGGGCGUAAAGCGUCUGUAGGUGGUUUACUAAGUCAACUGUUAAAUCUUGAGGCUUAACCUCAAAAUCGCAGUCGAAACUAUUAGGCUAGAGUAUAGUAGGGGUAAAGGGAAUUUCCAGUGGAGCGGUGAAAUGCGUAGAGAUUGGAAAGAACACCGAUGGCGAAGGCACUUUACUGGGCUAUUACUAACACUCAGAGACGAAAGCUGGGGUAGCAAAUGGG